RNAcentral lists this ribosomal RNA (548 nucleotides) under Cerocoma prevezaensis. RNAcentral describes it as "partial 16S ribosomal RNA". It matches the Rfam family "Bacterial large subunit ribosomal RNA", at positions 1797 to 2619 of the family's 2925-position model. Lineage: Eukaryota; Metazoa; Arthropoda; Insecta; Coleoptera; Meloidae. The record is from RNAcentral.
CGCCUGUUUAUCAAAAACAUGUCUUUUUGUUAAUUAUUUAAAGUCUGGCCUGCUCCAUGAGUAAUUAAAUAGCCGCAGUAUUUUGACUGUGCAAAGGUAGCAUAAUCAUUAGUUUUUUAAUUGAAAGCUGGUAUGAAUGGUCGGAUGAAGAAGAUUCUGUCUCAUUUUAAUUUACAAUUGAUUUUAUUUUUAAGUCAAAAAGCUUAAAUUUUAUAGAAAGACGAGAAGACCCUAUAGAGUUUAAUAGGUUUAUUUUACAAUAAAUUUAGGAUUUUAUUUUUAUUGUGAUUUGAACUAUUUUGUUGGGGUGACAUUUGGAUUAUAAGAUUAAAUUACCUUAGGGAUAACAGCGUAAUUCUUUUGGAGAGUUCUAAUCAAUAGAAUUUAAAUAAACUUCUUUUUAUAUUAACACUGAUUGGUGAAUAUAGGAUCCUGAUUUAAAAGGGAUUGCGACCUCGAUGUUGGAUUAAAGUUAAAUCUUGGUGCAGAAGCUAGGAUUUUAAGUCUGUUCGACUUUUGAAACUUUACGUGAUCUGAGUUAAGAGCCG